ACGGGUGAGUAACACGUGGGUGAUCUGCCCUGCACUUCGGGAUAAGCCUGGGAAACUGGGUCUAAUACCGGAUAUGACCUCCUAUCGCAUGGUGGGUGGUGGAAAGAUUUAUCGGUGCAGGAUGGGCCCGCGGCCUAUCAGCUUGUUGGUGGGGUAAUGGCCUACCAAGGCGGCGACGGGUAGCCGACCUGAGAGGGUGACCGGCCACACUGGGACUGAGACACGGCCCAGACUCCUACGGGAGGCAGCAGUGGGGAAUAUUGCACAAUGGGCGAAAGCCUGAUGCAGCGACGCCGCGUGAGGGAUGACGGCCUUCGGGUUGUAAACCUCCUUCAGCAGGGACGAAGCGCAAGUGACGGUACCUGCAGAAGAAGCACCGGCUAACUACGUGCCAGCAGCCGCGGUAAUACGUAGGGUGCAAGCGUUGUCCGGAAUUACUGGGCGUAAAGAGUUCGUAGGCGGUUUGUCGCGUCGUUUGUGAAAACCAGCAGCUCAACUGCUGGCUUGCAGGCGAUACGGGCAGACUUGAGUACUGCAGGGGAGACUGGAAUUCCUGGUGUAGCGGUGAAAUGCGCAGA
RNAcentral lists this ribosomal RNA (578 nucleotides) under uncultured bacterium. RNAcentral describes it as "bacterial SSU rRNA". It matches the Rfam family "Bacterial small subunit ribosomal RNA", at positions 102 to 694 of the family's 1533-position model. The record is from RNAcentral.